CGCCAUAUCACGUUGAAACACUGAUUUCUGUACGAACACCGAAUUUAAGCAACGUCGAUUUUGGUCAGUACCUAAAUGGGUGACCGCUUGGGAAUACCAGGUGCUAUA
This is a non-coding RNA of Acanthosepion pharaonis, 108 nucleotides long. The record is from the annotation of a GenBank genome assembly. Lineage: Eukaryota; Metazoa; Mollusca; Cephalopoda; Sepiida; Sepiidae.